UACGAAGGGUGCAAGCGUUACUCGGAAUUACUGGGCGUAAAGCGUGCGUAGGUGGUUCGUUAAGUCUGAUGUGAAAGCCCCGGGCUCAACCUGGGAACUGCAUUGGAUACUGGCGAUCUGGAGUGCGGUAGAGGGUGGCGGAAUUCCCGGUGUAGCAGUGAAAUGCGUAGAUAUCGGGAGGAACAUCCGUGGCGAAGGCGGCCACCUGGACCAGCACUGACACUGAGGCACGAAAGCGUGGGGAGCAAACAGG
RNAcentral lists this ribosomal RNA (253 nucleotides) under uncultured bacterium. RNAcentral describes it as "partial 16S ribosomal RNA". It matches the Rfam family "Bacterial small subunit ribosomal RNA", at positions 524 to 776 of the family's 1533-position model. RNAcentral also lists the same sequence under 1 other name. The record is from RNAcentral.